This 645-nucleotide ribosomal RNA is filed under the name uncultured Lake Michigan sediment bacterium LMBA27. Its description in RNAcentral is "partial 16S ribosomal RNA". It matches the Rfam family "Bacterial small subunit ribosomal RNA", at positions 830 to 1482 of the family's 1533-position model. The record is from RNAcentral. Lineage: Bacteria; Pseudomonadati; Acidobacteriota.
GGUUUAUGCGGUAGUGUCGUASUAACNCGUUAAGUGUCCRCCUGGGGAGUACGGUDGCAAGGCURAAADUDAAAGAWAUUHACGGGGGKNWGACAACGGUGGAGCAUGCGGUKUAAUUCGACGCAACGCGAAGAACCUUACCUGGGCUUGAACGGCGGUGGUACGGACCCGAAAGGGCGAGGACCCUGGUUUCCAGGGAGCCGGCAGAGGUGCUCAUGGCUGUCGUCAGCUCGUGUCGUGAGAUGUUGGGUUAAGUCCCGCAACGAGCGCAACCCUGCACUUAGUUGCCAGCGAGUCAUBUCGGGCACUCUAAGUGGACUGCCUCGGAUAACGGGAGGAAGGUGGGGAUGACGUCAAGUCAGCAUGGCCUUUAUGUCCAGGGCUACACACGGCUACAAUGGGCGGUAKAGAGGGAUGCAAAGCCGCAAGGUAGAGCCAAUCCCUAAAACCUCCUCAGYUCAGAUUGCAGGCUGCAACUCGCCUGCAUGAAGGCGGAAUCGCUAGUAAUCCGGAUCASUACGCCGCGGUGAAUACGUUCUCGGGCCUUGUACACACCGCCCGUCACAUCCGAAAGCUGGUUGUGCCCGAAGUCGCUGUGCUAACCGCAAGGAGGCAGGCGCCUAAGGUUGGUCGGUGAUUGGGGUG